AUAACAUUCGGACCGUUGGUCUACUGAACAAUACCACCCACUUGGUGGAAGAUCUACCCUUCGUCUU
Molecule: microRNA precursor, 67 nt
Filed under: Bombyx mori (domestic silkworm)
Lineage: Eukaryota; Metazoa; Arthropoda; Insecta; Lepidoptera; Bombycidae
Description: mir-2774 microRNA precursor family
Rfam family: mir-2774 microRNA precursor family
Source: Rfam by way of RNAcentral